Long non-coding RNA from Prinia subflava (tawny-flanked prinia), 618 nucleotides. RefSeq lists it as uncharacterized. The record is from RefSeq and is a predicted model, not a curated record. NCBI's taxonomy places the organism in Eukaryota, Metazoa, Chordata, Aves, Passeriformes, Cisticolidae. The transcript is spliced from 3 exons.
GCUCCAGCUCUGCACACGCUGCCCAGCAGCCACGGGGCAGCAGCAGAGUUUGGGGUGUGUGGCACAGCCCUGGGCACAGGCACUGAGCACACCCCCUCCCCUGCACACACCAGCCCAGCUGGGAGCCCCACAGUCCGGGAAGGCGACAUCCCCGUGGGACACAGGGGGAGGAGCUGAGGGUGUCACAAACCACCCAACACCCUCCAGGGCCCCAGAGCCAUUCCUGAGGACACUGCACAGCAUGGAACAGCUCCAGAGUCUGCUGCAUGGGGCACUGACAAACCUGCCCUCCCAGGGAAUUCCCACCUGGCCCAAACAUCCAUAAAUCCACUGCACUCUGUGUGUGGUGGGACCCUCAACACCAGGACAACAGAGGAAGAGGAUCAAUGGAACGCUGCUGGGAUCUACAGUGGCAAGUUGCACAACAACCCAACCACCACAGAACUGCAUUCAUGAUGAAGGAUUUUGUCUGUGGAAGGAAAUCUGUGAUGCAGAGAUGCACGAGAUAAAAACUGCAACAUGUAAACCAACUGAACCAGAUGUUAGAAGAUUUAACCAGAGUAACUCCACUGAAGCUGGAGAAGAUUCAGGAUGCAAGAACAGCUCAUCCUUAUCCAG